Molecule: non-coding RNA, 909 nt
Organism: Chrysemys picta bellii (western painted turtle)
Lineage: Eukaryota; Metazoa; Chordata; Testudines; Emydidae
Source: RefSeq, a predicted model, not a curated record
GGAGGAAUCGUCCAGGAGCCCUAGCCGGACAAGAAUAUUGCAGAAGUGGACCUGAGUAGUCUGGACAUCCUUCUAAGGAGACAUGAAUAGUCCUCAUGUUUCUGCCUUCUGCAUCGCUGGCUGUGAGUAAGAGGUUUAGAGCCAAGGAAAACGAAGUCACGCGUCAGAGUCUACUGCCCUCAUGCGAUGGAAAGCGAGCGAGAGCGUUGAGACUCUGAGCAUUGUUGAUGCCACUCAAAAGCCGUCCAUCUGGGAGCUGUGGAGAUGCCGCUGUCCGUGAGAUAAGUGUCUGGUUUGGUGAGGGCUCUGCUCACGCCCAACCUGAGUCCAGGUUGGGAAGCCCACUAAGUUGGGGCUGGGUUUGUAUGAAAAGGUUCCUGACUAACUGUGGUUACGAGGGGGAAAAGGUCCCUAUUUUCAGAGGUUGCUCAUUUCUCUGGUCAGGAAUGGUGUCUCCUCUGCAGCGGAAGGUUGGAUUCAGAAGGAUGACUCCAGGUGGUCAGUUGCUUGCUUUCCUCCAAUGUUUUUCUUUCUCUCUCUCUCUUGUCUAAUAUGUUGGCCAACACACACCCUCUAGCUCUCGCUGUCUGUCCUUGCCUUUCCUCGUGUUGUCUCCUUUCGUAAGACACGGGCAGCCGUGUAACAUGUGUAUCCCCACAGGCUAUGUCUCGGGUGCCAUGGAGAAGUAGGAGGGGACGAAAAUCAUGCACGGCUGUGACUGUCGGUGUUAUCUCGGUCUCUGUUUGUCGAGUGGCGCCGAGCUGCGCUUCCAGAGGAAUUUUCCAGGAGCCCUAUCUCGAGAAGAAACUGGGAGAAGUGGACAUGAGCAGACUGGACAUCCCUGUAAGCAGACAUGAACACCCUUGUCAGCAGACAUGAACAGUCCUCAACUUUCUGGCUCCCGCAUAA